Molecule: small RNA, 27 nt
Filed under: Bombyx mori (domestic silkworm)
Lineage: Eukaryota; Metazoa; Arthropoda; Insecta; Lepidoptera; Bombycidae
Description: ovarian small RNA-22508
Source: RNAcentral
UAGCUCUUUGUACACGCCAGCCUUUAU